CGAAGGCUGUGAGACCCUCCUGGACACCAGCCAGACUUUUGUGAGAUGGGGCAUGGCACCCUGCCUCCCCCCAACAUCAAGUGAUAUUGACCUUUCCCUGAAGAGGCAGGAAUGAGAAAAUAAGACGAGAAGACCCUAUGGAGCUUCAAUUAAUUAAAAAAAAAACCAAAGCAUUCCUUACACUAAUUGAAUGAAAAGUAUUAGUUUAUAUAUGACUCUGUAAAGGACCACAUCAUUGGCCCCAUGAUCUGUGGAGACACCAGUAUUUACA
Diceros bicornis minor is the source of this 271-nucleotide long non-coding RNA. RefSeq lists it as uncharacterized. NCBI's taxonomy places the organism in Eukaryota, Metazoa, Chordata, Mammalia, Perissodactyla, Rhinocerotidae. The transcript is spliced from 3 exons. The record is from RefSeq and is a predicted model, not a curated record.